Molecule: ribosomal RNA, 58 nt
Filed under: Quercus canariensis
Lineage: Eukaryota; Viridiplantae; Streptophyta; Magnoliopsida; Fagales; Fagaceae
Description: partial 28S ribosomal RNA
Source: RNAcentral
CGCGCUCUUGCGACCCUUACGCGUCGCCUCGGCGGCGCUCCCAACGCGACCCCAGGUC